This 148-nucleotide small nucleolar RNA is filed under the name Kryptolebias marmoratus (mangrove rivulus). RNAcentral describes it as "Small nucleolar RNA SNORA53 (ENSKMAG00000011499.1)". It matches the Rfam family "Small nucleolar RNA SNORA53". Rfam says of the family: The snoRNA ACA53 belongs to the H/ACA family of pseudouridylation guide snoRNAs. Lineage: Eukaryota; Metazoa; Chordata; Actinopteri; Cyprinodontiformes; Rivulidae. The record is from RNAcentral.
AACACGCUCCUUAGAUCCACCUCUGGAGGGCGCUGUUCUCUGAGCAGAGCUCCUCGGCAGCUUUCUGGCUGUACAGUCGGAGGUGCUUGAGUCAUUGGCGUGUGACAGCAGUCUACCUGCCCCCCCGCCCACCUGCUGCGCUGGCACC